Molecule: long non-coding RNA, 249 nt
Filed under: Trifolium pratense (red clover)
Lineage: Eukaryota; Viridiplantae; Streptophyta; Magnoliopsida; Fabales; Fabaceae
Description: long non-coding RNA (TPRA_LNC004372)
Source: RNAcentral
AAGUUGAGAGAAAUGGGUUGUUUAUGAGGCAAAGGGGUUAUUGGCGUGAGAGAGAAGAUGAGGAAAGAGGGAGAGUUUGCUGCACUUGAUGUGUUGGGAAAUAAAGGAAUGAAAUAGAAAUUGGUAGUGAUUUAUGCUUAGUCUUAUGGAACGGGAAUAUUUGUAUUAUUAUAGAUGAAAUAAGGACAACUAAAAUGAGUCUAGUACAGAUAGAAGAUGGAAUAUCAGAAAUUUUAGAGAGGAAUUAAG